This 1372-nucleotide ribosomal RNA is filed under the name uncultured bacterium. RNAcentral describes it as "bacterial SSU rRNA". It matches the Rfam family "Bacterial small subunit ribosomal RNA", at positions 28 to 1381 of the family's 1533-position model. The record is from RNAcentral.
GAUGAACGCUGGCGGCGUGCCUAAUACAUGCAAGUCGAGCGAACGGACGAGAAGCUUGCUUCUCUGAUGUUAGCGGCGGACGGGUGAGUAACACGUGGAUAACCUACCUAUAAGACUGGGAUAACUUCGGGAAACCGGAGCUAAUACGGGAUAAUAUUUUGAACCGCAUGGUUCAAAAGUGAAAGACGGUCUUGCUGUCACUUAUAGAUGGAUCCGCGCUGCAUUAGCUAGUUGGUAAGGUAACGGCUUACCAAGGCAACGAUGCAUAGCCGACCUGAGAGGGUGAUCGGCCACACUGGAACUGAGACACGGUCCAGACUCCUACGGGAGGCAGCAGUAGGGAAUCUUCCGCAAUGGGCGAAAGCCUGACGGAGCAACGCCGCGUGAGUGAUGAAGGUCUUCGGAUCGUAAAACUCUGUUAUUAGGGAAGAACAUAUGUGUAAGUAACUGUGCACAUCUUGACGGUACCUAAUCAGAAAGCCACGGCUAACUACGUGCCAGCAGCCGCGGUAAUACGUAGGUGGCAAGCGUUAUCCGGAAUUAUUGGGCGUAAAGCGCGCGUAGGCGGUUUUUUAAGUCUGAUGUGAAAGCCCACGGCUCAACCGUGGAGGGUCAUUGGAAACUGGAAAACUUGAGUGCAGAAGAGGAAAGUGGAAUUCCAUGUGUAGCGGUGAAAUGCGCAGAGAUAUGGAGGAACACCAGUGGCGAAGGCGACUUUCUGGUCUGUAACUGACGCUGAUGUGCGAAAGCGUGGGGAUCAAACAGGAUUAGAUACCCUGGUAGUCCACGCCGUAAACGAUGAGUGCUAAGUGUUAGGGGGUUUCCGCCCCUUAGUGCUGCAGCUAACGCAUUAAGCACUCCGCCUGGGGAGUACGACCGCAAGGUUGAAACUCAAAGGAAUUGACGGGGACCCGCACAAGCGGUGGAGCAUGUGGUUUAAUUCGAAGCAACGCGAAGAACCUUACCAAAUCUUGACAUCCUUUGACAACUCUAGAGAUAGAGCCUUCCCCUUCGGGGGACAAAGUGACAGGUGGUGCAUGGUUGUCGUCAGCUCGUGUCGUGAGAUGUUGGGUUAAGUCCCGCAACGAGCGCAACCCUUAAGCUUAGUUGCCAUCAUUAAGUUGGGCACUCUAAGUUGACUGCCGGUGACAAACCGGAGGAAGGUGGGGAUGACGUCAAAUCAUCAUGCCCCUUAUGAUUUGGGCUACACACGUGCUACAAUGGACAAUACAAAGGGCAGCGAAACCGCGAGGUCAAGCAAAUCCCAUAAAGUUGUUCUCAGUUCGGAUUGUAGUCUGCAACUCGACUACAUGAAGCUGGAAUCGCUAGUAAUCGUAGAUCAGCAUGCUACGGUGAAUACGUUCCCGGGUCU